CAUCUUUCAUUAGCUGGAGAAAAGUCUUUGCCCUCAGAUCAAGCCCCGGGAGAAGGGGGAGCCUGGAAGGAGGCCUCAGAUGUCUGCACAACUUGUAUAUGCUGUGAAAGGAACCCUGAUGAAAGGUUAGGGCAGUGGGAUGGACGAUACCCAGUGAAAGGCAUGCGCAGCACGUCUGAUUGCUUUUUGCUGUGGAAUCCUUAUUUCCAGGGAAUCCAAUCCUUCUUGUGAUGGCCAGGAAAGGUGUUUGUGAGGGGAAGGCUAGUGCCUGUUAACCUCUUCAGUGCUGGGUUCUCCAGUGCUGUCACCUGCAGUGUGGGGGAGCCUAAAGACUGAGACCAGGCAGUCUGUAUCCAUCUGUACUUUGUAUGAGAGGAUUCCUUCUCAUCUGACAGGCGUGAUAGAAACACAAAAACAGAGAAGUGAGAUCUCUCACCUGUUAAACAGAAUCCAGACUGUGUGAUUUCUUAGCAAUGAAUUGAUAAACUUCUAACACGCUAGUUUUCCCAUUGGGGUUGGCUGCAUA
Molecule: long non-coding RNA, 526 nt
Filed under: Cyanistes caeruleus (blue tit)
Lineage: Eukaryota; Metazoa; Chordata; Aves; Passeriformes; Paridae
Description: lncRNA (ENSCCEG00000008368.1)
Source: RNAcentral